Molecule: ribosomal RNA, 407 nt
Filed under: uncultured Glomeromycotina
Lineage: Eukaryota; Fungi; Glomeromycota
Description: SSU rRNA
Rfam family: Eukaryotic small subunit ribosomal RNA
Source: RNAcentral
GGGCACGACACCGGAGAGGGAGCCUGAGAAACGGCUACCACAUCCAAGGAUGGCAGCAGGCGCGCAAAUUACCCAAUCCCGACACGGGGAGGUAGUGACAAUAAAUAACAAUACGGGGUUCUUUAGGAUCUCGUAAUUGGAAUGAGUACAAUUUAAAUCUCUUAACGAGGAACAAUUGGAGGGCAAGUCUGGUGCCAGCAGCCGCGGUAAUUCCAGCUCCAAUAGCGUAUAUUAAAGUUGUUGCAGUUAAAAAGCUCGUAGUUGAAUUUCGGGGUUAGUAGGUUGGUCAUGCCUCUGGUAUGUACUGGUCUCACUGAUUCCUCCUUCCUGAUGAACNGUAAUGCCAUUAAUUUGGUGUUGCGGGGAAUUUGGACUGUUACUUUGAAAAAAUUAGAGUGUUUAAAGCA